UCCUCCCCCUCUUCUGCUCCCUCCUCCUCCCCCUUGUCUCCCUCCUCCUCACAAGUCUCUCACCAGGCCUGGUCACUCUCUUCUGUCCCCACCCCCCAGAGCUCUGAUACUGGAUUUUGUGCGUCAUGACCUUUCCUGAGUGGUAACCAGCACCAUGUACUUAAAAUGAACGUUGGUGACGUGAUUCGGCAGCUGUGGCAUUUAAGGGGUACCUAAUGGGAGGAGAUUUUCCAGCUAAGGCAGGAGCUUUCACUUCAUUUGCUCCCUCCAUGUGCCUCACUCCAGACCGGUCAGCAGGGCUUCUCCUCCUCGUGCACACUGACACAGACAAGGCCCUGCUCUCUCUCAAGUUCCAGAGGACACCAGGAUCCACUGCCUUGUCACCAAUUCCAGAAGAAUGAGGUCUCACCCCACAAGCUUUUCUCUUACUGGUUCCCUCUUCUAAUUAACUACUCAGCUAAUUGUUACAGGAUCACCAUAGAGCUGGAGUCCAGGGACCAUCAGAUAUACCCAGGUGAAACCAGCUUAAGUCUAUCUGGACAGAGUCCCAAGCCAAGAAAGAUGAACAUCUCCAAGGCAGCAGACGACAGCCCAGGAUGCCUGUCUACCUCAGAAGCACCCUUCCCUAUCCCCCAAGAGUUAACCAACACCCACUGAGUCAGCUGGAAGUAGUUUUUUUUGGGGGGAGAAAUGACGCCCCUGUUCCUGUUCAUCCACCUUUUUUUAUAAUAAGCAAAAAGUUUGGAAUGUUAGGAUUCUGCCAUUCUAUCUAUAUGACUACACAUGCGAAGUUCAGUAGCUAAGCAAGGGGUCUUACGUCUUACAUCAUCAGUGGGCCACAUGAUUGCACAAAUGUGCACAGUGUGGUCACACAAUCAGCGCAUGGGUGGUGUAGCUCUGUGAGCCCACCUGCACAUGUGCAGGGGAAUCCUUAAAAAGCCGGACACAGGCUCCUCCCCUCUCUUCUGCUCUCUCCCCUCCUCCUCUCCCCCUCCUCCUUUCUCCCUCCUCACGUGUCUCUUCCCAGGCCUGGUCACUCUCUUCUGUGCCCCACCUCCAGCAAAGCUCUGAUAUUGGGUUUUGUCGUGCCUCAUGACCUUUC
Long non-coding RNA from Peromyscus maniculatus bairdii (prairie deer mouse), 1102 nucleotides. RefSeq lists it as uncharacterized. The record is from RefSeq and is a predicted model, not a curated record. NCBI's taxonomy places the organism in Eukaryota, Metazoa, Chordata, Mammalia, Rodentia, Cricetidae.